This 233-nucleotide ribosomal RNA is filed under the name uncultured bacterium. RNAcentral's name for it is "partial 16S ribosomal RNA". It matches the Rfam family "Bacterial small subunit ribosomal RNA", at positions 123 to 354 of the family's 1533-position model. The record is from RNAcentral.
AACCUGCCUUGGAGUGGGGAAGUAACAGCUGGAAACAGCUGCUAAUACCGCAUAAUAUGUCUGAACCGCAUGGCUCUGGACAUCAAAGAUUUAUCGCUCUGAGAUGGACUCGCGUCUGAUUAGCUAGUUGGUGGGGCAACGGCCCACCAAGGCGACGAUCAGUAGCCGGACUGAGAGGUUGGCCGGCCACAUUGGGACUGAGACACGGCCCAGACUCCUACGGGAGGCAGCAG